GGUGCCAUGGCUUAGCAGAUUAAAACACCUGUCUUGAAAACGGAGUCCUGGGUUCAAAUCCCAGUGGUACAU
Non-coding RNA from Alligator sinensis (Chinese alligator), 72 nucleotides. The record is from Rfam. NCBI's taxonomy places the organism in Eukaryota, Metazoa, Chordata, Crocodylia, Alligatoridae.